Molecule: non-coding RNA, 305 nt
Organism: Drosophila melanogaster (fruit fly)
Lineage: Eukaryota; Metazoa; Arthropoda; Insecta; Diptera; Drosophilidae
Source: Ensembl
CAAAGCGGCCACAAACAUCAGAAACUGCAGCGACAACUGCAACAACUUUUGAACAACUACAGCAACAGCAAUAAGAGUUACGAAAACAAUAACCACACAAUGACAAUGCAAGGCAAUAUUCGCAUAUUAUACAAACAAUAAACAUUGUUAAUUAAUUUACUUCAACUCGAGCGGUAACUGCACUUUGGCCCACUCUACCGAAAAGGAUGACUGUAAGCUUGUAGAAAGCACAGAGUCACAUAAGGAAUUAUUUGCGAAAUUACCAACGCGGCCCACUGUGAUUAAAAAAUAUUAAAUCUUGAAAC